GCCCCCAUAGCUCAGUGGAUAGAGCGCUACCCUCCGGAGGUAGAAACCCGCGUUCGAGUCGCGGUGGGGGUA
This is a non-coding RNA of Chloroflexi bacterium RBG_19FT_COMBO_55_16, 72 nucleotides long. The record is from Rfam. NCBI's taxonomy places the organism in Bacteria, Bacillati, Chloroflexota.